Molecule: ribosomal RNA, 2906 nt
Filed under: Enterobacter roggenkampii
Lineage: Bacteria; Pseudomonadati; Pseudomonadota; Gammaproteobacteria; Enterobacterales; Enterobacteriaceae
Description: 23S ribosomal RNA
Rfam family: Bacterial large subunit ribosomal RNA
Source: RNAcentral
GGUUAAGCGACUAAGCGUACACGGUGGAUGCCCUGGCAGUCAGAGGCGAUGAAGGACGUGCUAAUCUGCGAAAAGCGCCGGCGAGGUGAUAUGAACCUUUGACCCGGCGAUGUCCGAAUGGGGAAACCCAGUGUGAUUCGUCACACUAUCGUUAACUGAAUACAUAGGUUAACGAGGCGAACCGGGGGAACUGAAACAUCUAAGUACCCCGAGGAAAAGAAAUCAACCGAGAUUCCCCCAGUAGCGGCGAGCGAACGGGGAGCAGCCCAGAGUCUGAAUCAGCUUGUGUGUUAGUGGAAGCGUCUGGAAAGUCGCACGGUACAGGGUGACAGUCCCGUACACGAAAAUGCACAGGUUGUGAACUCGAAGAGUAGGGCGGGACACGUGGUAUCCUGUCUGAAUAUGGGGGGACCAUCCUCCAAGGCUAAAUACUCCUGACUGACCGAUAGUGAACCAGUACCGUGAGGGAAAGGCGAAAAGAACCCCGGCGAGGGGAGUGAAAAAGAACCUGAAACCGUGUACGUACAAGCAGUGGGAGCACCUUCGUGGUGUGACUGCGUACCUUUUGUAUAAUGGGUCAGCGACUUAUAUUCUGUAGCAAGGUUAACCGUAUAGGGGAGCCGAAGGGAAACCGAGUCUUAACUGGGCGUUAAGUUGCAGGGUAUAGACCCGAAACCCGGUGAUCUAGCCAUGGGCAGGUUGAAGGUUGGGUAACACUAACUGGAGGACCGAACCGACUAAUGUUGAAAAAUUAGCGGAUGACUUGUGGCUGGGGGUGAAAGGCCAAUCAAACCGGGAGAUAGCUGGUUCUCCCCGAAAGCUAUUUAGGUAGCGCCUCGUGAACUCAUCUUCGGGGGUAGAGCACUGUUUCGGCUAGGGGGCCAUCCCGGCUUACCAACCCGAUGCAAACUACGAAUACCGAAGAAUGUUAUCACGGGAGACACACGGCGGGUGCUAACGUCCGUCGUGAAGAGGGAAACAACCCAGACCGCCAGCUAAGGUCCCAAAGUCAUGGUUAAGUGGGAAACGAUGUGGGAAGGCACAGACAGCCAGGAUGUUGGCUUAGAAGCAGCCAUCAUUUAAAGAAAGCGUAAUAGCUCACUGGUCGAGUCGGCCUGCGCGGAAGAUGUAACGGGGCUAAACCAUGCACCGAAGCUGCGGCAGCGACGCUUAUGCGUUGUUGGGUAGGGGAGCGUUCUGUAAGCCGUUGAAGGUGGCCUGUGAGGGUUGCUGGAGGUAUCAGAAGUGCGAAUGCUGACAUAAGUAACGAUAAAGCGGGUGAAAAGCCCGCUCGCCGGAAGACCAAGGGUUCCUGUCCAACGUUAAUCGGGGCAGGGUGAGUCGACCCCUAAGGCGAGGCCGAAAGGCGUAGUCGAUGGGAAACAGGUUAAUAUUCCUGUACUUGGUGUUACUGCGAAGGGGGGACGGAGAAGGCUAUGUUAGCCGGGCGACGGUUGUCCCGGUUUAAGCAUGUAGGCGGAACGAUUAGGUAAAUCCGGUCGUUUUUUAACGCUGAGGUGUGAUGACGAGGCACUACGGUGCUGAAGUAACAAAUGCCCUGCUUCCAGGAAAAGCCUCUAAGCAUCAGGUAACAUCAAAUCGUACCCCAAACCGACACAGGUGGUCAGGUAGAGAAUACCAAGGCGCUUGAGAGAACUCGGGUGAAGGAACUAGGCAAAAUGGUGCCGUAACUUCGGGAGAAGGCACGCUGAUAUGUAGGUGAAGCCCCUGCGGGUGGAGCUGAAAUCAGUCGAAGAUACCAGCUGGCUGCAACUGUUUAUUAAAAACACAGCACUGUGCAAACACGAAAGUGGACGUAUACGGUGUGACGCCUGCCCGGUGCCGGAAGGUUAAUUGAUGGGGUUAGCGGCAACGCGAAGCUCUUGAUCGAAGCCCCGGUAAACGGCGGCCGUAACUAUAACGGUCCUAAGGUAGCGAAAUUCCUUGUCGGGUAAGUUCCGACCUGCACGAAUGGCGUAAUGAUGGCCAGGCUGUCUCCACCCGAGACUCAGUGAAAUUGAACUCGCUGUGAAGAUGCAGUGUACCCGCGGCAAGACGGAAAGACCCCGUGAACCUUUACUAUAGCUUGACACUGAACACUGGUCCUUGAUGUGUAGGAUAGGUGGGAGGCUUUGAAGUGUGGACGCCAGUCUGCAUGGAGCCGUCCUUGAAAUACCACCCUUUAAUGGCUGGUGUUCUAACGUAGACCCGUAAUCCGGGUUGCGGACAGUGUCUGGUGGGUAGUUUGACUGGGGCGGUCUCCUCCCAAAGAGUAACGGAGGAGCACGAAGGUUAGCUAAUCCUGGUCGGACAUCAGGAGGUUAGUGCAAUGGCAUAAGCUAGCUUGACUGCGAGAGUGACGGCUCGAGCAGGUGCGAAAGCAGGUCAUAGUGAUCCGGUGGUUCUGAAUGGAAGGGCCAUCGCUCAACGGAUAAAAGGUACUCCGGGGAUAACAGGCUGAUACCGCCCAAGAGUUCAUAUCGACGGCGGUGUUUGGCACCUCGAUGUCGGCUCAUCACAUCCUGGGGCUGAAGUAGGUCCCAAGGGUAUGGCUGUUCGCCAUUUAAAGUGGUACGCGAGCUGGGUUUAGAACGUCGUGAGACAGUUCGGUCCCUAUCUGCCGUGGGCGCUGGAGAAUUGAGGGGGGCUGCUCCUAGUACGAGAGGACCGGAGUGGACGCAUCACUGGUGUUCGGGUUGUCAUGCCAAUGGCACUGCCCGGUAGCUAAAUGCGGAAAAGAUAAGUGCUGAAAGCAUCUAAGCACGAAACUUGCCCCGAGAUGAGUUCUCCCUGAGACUUUAAGUCUCCUGAAGGAACGUUGAAGACGACGACGUUGAUAGGUCGGGUGUGUAAGCGCAGCGAUGCGUUGAGCUAACCGAUACUAAUGAACCGUGAGGCUUAACCUU